AACUCAUAGUAAUUCAAAUUCUUCAAAGAGUCCUUGUACACAGUGAUGGCUGUUGGCAGGAAUGAUCUCCUGUAGCGGCCUAUGUUACAGCAAAUUUGAAGAAGCCUCUGACUGAAGACACUCUGUUUUUCUAGCACACUCAUCUCAUCUCACUGCCAUUCAAAGUAAAAGAAUAAUGUAUACAUUUUUAACGACAAAAAAAAAUGUCUUCACAAGAUUAUGUAAAAUUUUAUUGUUAAUUAUAUUUUGUAAAGAGCAUUAAAUCUUUGUCUCCCAGUAAUUUAUUGUUUUCUGCAAAAAAAAAAAAAAAAGAAAGAAAUAUCACAUGGGUUCCACGUUAGCAGAAAUGUAAGUUUUGUGGGUUUUUUUAAGAACUUCAGAAAUUGACGUAGUGCUGAUUAUGUUUUCAUCUGACGCAGUUUGUAGUUAGCUUAGGCUAAUGCUGACAUGUUGAUUCUGUUCUUCAAGCGCUUUUAAUCAUGAUUUAUACCUGAUUUUAAGUUGAAACAUUAUGAGACCAAAACACCCUAAAGUAAUUCGAUUGAUUGAUUGGUUUAUUUUAAAUGUUUCACAUCAUUUAGUUAUCGUCGUUUCCUCUUGCUCCAUUUCUCCCUCCCACAGCAACACAGAGCAAACUUUCAUGCCCACACAUAUAUCCUCAUAUCAACCCCACCCGAUACAUCUCUGACACAUGUGAAGCAGACUUCUACAGCAAAUUGAUUAUUUGCAUGUAGCCUAGCGCUCUCUCUGUGGCCUGCUGCACAGAUGUAUGGAUGGAUGUAUUUCUUCCACAGAGAGAGAGAGAGAAUCAAAGAGCUGGAGCAGCAGGAGCCGUCUUUCAGAAUGACAGAGAAGUCAAAAGCCGGGAUUUUACUUGAACUGUGCCGAAGCAGCUGACACUUUAUGAGGUUUUGCCGCAAAAGCUGAGAUACAAAAUGAAUUUUUUAAAAAAAAUUCCUACCUAAGUGCGCUGCUUUCUGAAUAUUUUAAAACUAAUUUCUGGUCGCUGCAUGGGAAUUUGUUCAACUUCAAAGCAGAAUAUUCUGUGACAUCAUAUGUGUUGCUCUGUGUUGUUUCAUUUUGAAGACAAAGUUCUACAUUUGGAUCAAUUUUAUUUAUAGGUUCAGCCAUAAAAGUUAUGAAUUGGCCCCUGAUCAUCCAAUACACGACUGCUCUUCUCCCAGCCUUGUUAAUCGCUGUAGUGGUCAUAAGGACAGAUUAGCUUCCAAACAAACGUCCUUUCGACAGCAGCUCUGAGAUGAUUUCCUGUUCCUGGUUGCUAGGAGACAGACUCGUUUGCUACAACUUGAUCAGUCCGAGUGUGGACCAGAUUACAAAGAACCAUGUAGAGUUAAAGCUGUAAAGACUUAACACCUAAUGCAUAACGAUUAUCUUAACUAAGUUGUAGGUGCUGAUGGCUGUGGACAGGAAAGAUCACCUGUAGCAGUCUUUGUUACAGUGGUUUUGUAAAAGCAUCUGACUGAAGACCCUCUGUUCUUGUAUAGCAGUCUCAUGAAGAAGAUGCUCAGUGUUGGCCGCAAUGUUAUUGAUUUUAUGGCAAAUCCUCCUUUGCACAACAAUCUCCAGAGGAAUACAAAGAAGUCUAAGAGAUACGUCGAUAAAAAGUUGCUUUCCAAGUUAUUUCUGUCUUAUUUCCAGUGUACUGAGAUAUUUGCUCUAGAAACUGUGCUGGAAUGACUUGGUGAGAUUUUGUGUUUCUGCAGCGUCGGUCUGUCACAUGCAUAUCAUAAAACGCUCUGAAGUUAGUUCUGCAAAGUGG
This is a long non-coding RNA of Xiphophorus couchianus (Monterrey platyfish), 1780 nucleotides long. RefSeq lists it as uncharacterized. NCBI's taxonomy places the organism in Eukaryota, Metazoa, Chordata, Actinopteri, Cyprinodontiformes, Poeciliidae. The record is from RefSeq and is a predicted model, not a curated record. The transcript is spliced from 2 exons.